GAUGAACGCUGGCGGCGUGCCUAAUACAUGCAAGUCGAGCGAACAGACGAGGAGCUUGCUCCUCUGACGUUAGCGGCGGACGGGUGAGUAACACGUGGAUACCCUACCUAUAAGACUGGGAUAACUUCGGGAAACCGGCGCUAAUACCGGAUAAUAUAUUGAACCGCAUGGUUCAAUAGUGAAAGACGGUUUUGCUGUCACUUAUAGAUGGAUCCGCGCCGCAUUAGCUAGUUGGUAAGGUAACGGCUUACCAAGGCAACGAUGCGUAGCCGACCUGAGAGGGUGAUCGGCCACACUGGAACUGAGACACGGUCCAGACUCCUACGGGAGGCAGCAGUAGGGAAUCUUGCGCAAACGGCGAAAGCUUGACGGAGCAACGCCGCGUGAGUGAUGAAGGUCUUCGGAUCGUAAAACUCUGUUAUUAGGGAAGAACAAAUGUGUAAGUAACUAUGCACGUCUUGACGGUACCUAAUCAGAAAGCCACGGCUAACUACGUG
This 497-nucleotide ribosomal RNA is filed under the name uncultured bacterium. RNAcentral describes it as "partial 16S ribosomal RNA". It matches the Rfam family "Bacterial small subunit ribosomal RNA", at positions 28 to 507 of the family's 1533-position model. The record is from RNAcentral.